This 431-nucleotide ribosomal RNA is filed under the name uncultured Rhodoplanes sp. RNAcentral's name for it is "bacterial SSU rRNA". It matches the Rfam family "Bacterial small subunit ribosomal RNA", at positions 29 to 507 of the family's 1533-position model. The record is from RNAcentral. Lineage: Bacteria; Pseudomonadati; Pseudomonadota; Alphaproteobacteria; Hyphomicrobiales; Nitrobacteraceae.
AGCGAACGCUGGCGGCAGGCUUAACACAUGCAAGUCGAGCGCCCCGCAAGGGGAGCGGCAGACGGGUGAGUAACGCGUGGGGAUGUACCCAAAGGUACGGAACAACUCCGGGAAACUGGAGCUAAUACCGUAUGUGCCCGAGAGGGGAAAGAUUUAUCGCCUUUGGAUCAACCCGCGUCAGAUUAGCUAGUUGGUAGGGUAAUGGCCUACCAAGGCGACGAUCUGUAGCUGGUCUGAGAGGAUGAUCAGCCACACUGGGACUGAGACACGGCCCAGACUCCUACGGGAGGCAGCAGUGGGGAAUAUUGGACAAUGGGCGCAAGCCUGAUCCAGCCAUGCCGCGUGAGUGAUGACGGCCUUAGGGUUGUAAAGCUCUUUCGACGGGGACGAUAAUGACGGUACCCGUAGAAGAAGCCCCGGCUAACUUCGUG